GUUCCUAUAGCGCAAUGGCUAGAGCGUUGGACUUCUGAUUCAAUAGGCGUGGGUUCUAAGCCCACUUGGAAUG
Molecule: non-coding RNA, 73 nt
Organism: Trichonephila clavata
Lineage: Eukaryota; Metazoa; Arthropoda; Arachnida; Araneae; Nephilidae
Source: the annotation of a GenBank genome assembly